UGUGUGCCGGAGAUGUGGCACAAUCCACCAUCCAUUCUGAAUGGAAGUAGGGAAAAGCGGAUGUGAGUGCUAUUUUCAGCAGCUCAAGCAACAGCUCACAUGCAGAAAAGGAUUAUCUACAUGGACAAAUAUAGAGCAGGAAAGAGUGGAUUAACACAACCAUUAUAUUCUAAAUACACCACCUAAGACACAGCAAGAAUUCUAUAAAAUUACAUUUUUUAAAUCCAAAACCCAUCCUCUUUAAUCCGCCACUUAAUAUUAUCAUUUCAGUUGUCCUCAAAUACCAUUCCUGCUCAUUCCCAGUGAACAUUUUCCAGGUAAUUUUAUUCAACUGGUCAGUUCAAGCUGUUAUAGUGAAUAUUUGAUAAUACUUAAAACACGUUUCUAACUUCAUCAGGUGUUUCUGAGAUGCAGUUCUACAAUAAUCUGUAUUGGUUUGUAAAAUGGAUGAGAUGAACUAUAACAGAAAGGUCACAUUGAUUAUGGCGUAAUCAUUAAAUGUCCUGGAAUCUAACCCCUGAAAUAAAUAACAUGAUAUUAUUAUUCAUAAAUGAAAGAGCUAUUUAUUAAACAGCCAAAUAUAAAGCAUGGAUUGGAAACUUAUAUAUUUUUUUAAACUACAACAUGCAGUGAAAUAAAGUCAAGCCUAUAAUGUAUGAGUAAUGCUCAGAGAGAGAGACAGAGUUUAAUGAUCAGUGUUUCUAUUUGGAAUAGGACUUACGUAUAAAAAAGUUCUCAAUGAGAGUUGUUGACAGUUCAAGUUAAACUCUGGGGCCAUUGUACCAAAGGUUAUUAGUAGCUAGAUUGACAGUUUGAUUUGUUUAUUUGAGUGUUUAUUUUAGUGUACAAGACACUGGACAGCAACCACCCGGAUGGCUACCUGAUGUAUCAUAAUAUACAGUUCCACAAAUUCAGAAAGAAGACAUUUCAAAAAAUUUUACUUCCAUAACAUCAUAACGUUAUUUCCAACAUGUUAUUUUGUUGGAUACAGCAUUCUCUGUUUACAGUUUUUUUUUUUAACAACCGCUAACAUCCUUUUGUCCAAUCUGUAGUCACAUUUUCGAAACUCUAAACACAGUUAGCCCCACAUCGGCCUGUUCAUACCAUACCAUUAACACAAUUCAUGCUGUUUACACAGAAUAUGCAGUCAUUUAACCCAUUUCUAAAAUACUAAGUUUUUCUUUACGUACCAGCUUACCCUAUACCAAAACUAUGGAUGUUUUCUGUGUUAUUCACAAAUGCUAGCACACAACAUGUCAGAACUGAAGAUAUCAUUUUCAAAACAUUAAAUAAUGUAUAAAACCUUUACUUCUGCUACAAUAGCAGCUUAAAAUCUCUAUUGAAACAGCUGAUGAGCAUUUCUGAAUGAAUAUAUCAUUGAAACAUUGAGAAAUAGCUGAUUUAUUGUCAUUUGGGUAAAAUAGAUCAUCCACAGCUAAUUCCAAUCUCCACCAGAGACAUUGCUAUGUGUUGAGGUUCCUUCAAUUACAUACACAAUGUGUCAUGCUGUGUGCCUGCCUGCUUUGUUUAGUUUAUUCUCAGUUUUGUUAUUUUAGUCUUUUCUGUAUCUGUUAUUUAGUCUGUGUCUUGGGUUUCUGCUCUGUCUUUAGUUUUGGGUUCAGUAUUGCCGGUGUUUGUUAUUUAGUUAGUUAGUUGUUUUCCACUGCCUGUUUGAUGUCAGUCUGUUCUGCGCUUCUUGUUUCAGUUUGUUUCACUGUUUUGUUUUAGUCUCUGUUUUAGUUUGUAGUCUACCCUGUGCCUUUAGUGCUGUUCAGUCUGUUUUCUGUCUAGUUUGGUUUUGAUCCAUGUCUGCCUUAGUUCCUGUUUCUUUCUGUUAUUAUCUGGUGUUUGUUUUAUGCUUGGUUUCUGUCUGCCUGUCUGCUAAGUUCUUAUUUAUCUGCCAUGUCUGCUCUGUGUUUCUGUCUGAUCCCAGUUCACUCUGUUUUCCCUGUUGGAUGUAGUUUAUUUGGAUUAUUUGUGAUCUGUCUGCUUGUGUUGUGUGUUUUGAGUUCCAGUUAGAUUCUUGCCUUGUGUUUUGCAACCUGUUAGGUUCCCCUGCUGUCUCUCUGCCUGCCUGUGCCUCAUUAGUCUCAUCUCUGUCACCUGUGUUAUUCCCACCCUUCUUGUUAACCCUGUGUGUGUGUGUGUGUGUGUGUGUGUGUGUGUGUGUGUGUGUGUGUGUGUGUGUGCUUGCUUUUUCCCCUCAGUCUUUGUCCGGUCAUUGUAGUGGUUUGUAACUGGUAAUGCGCUGCCUUGUUCUGCCUGUUCGGUGUUUUUUGGAUUAUACCCUUUCUGGAUUUUCUUUUGGAUCGCCUUGUUUUGUUUGGACUCUGACUUAUUUGGAUUUCUUUGGACUCAGCCACUCAAGUUGUAAGUGUGCUCGCUUUUUGUUUGCCUUACAAUAAAUCUUUGAACUGUAGCAGUCAGCCUACGUGUCCUGCAUUUGGGUCCACCAACAUGUUCAAACACACAUCGUGACACAAAGCAGUAAAAAGGGGAGAUGAGUUUAUCUAAUGUGGAUACAGAACAACACAGAGGAGGAGAGAAAGAAAGAAUAAUGUCUGAACAAAGGAGAAGAAUACUUGGGCCAAGGAGAGGAAGUAUCUGAACCAGUACUGAGUCGCAGUCGAGGCCUUCGUGCAGCAGCUCCCUUUUCAAGGCAUCUUGGUUCAACAUCUCAAGCAGUCCACACAAAAAGUCUGACGUCAGCCUUACAGCCUCAUCACAUCCUCCGGUUCCACAGAGGGACAGCCAGAGGUGGAGGGUGCUGUGUGAUGUUCCCAUAUGACACACUGCUGUCUUGGUCUGAGUUUUUUUUAAGGCUUAGCCUGUCAGUUAUUUCACAUUUUACAUGAAUAUUAAUGAGACACAGCUCAGCAUCCAGCCCUUCAGCACUGCAUGCUAGCCGAACUUUACAAAAUAAAUGUCAUCAUUUGGUCACUUUAUAUUACAGAGGGCCUGGAAUUGCUUAAUUAACCUACAGAACCCACUGAAAAUGUAAAUAUUAAUUUUGUGACCGGUUCUAAAAAAUGUAUCUUUCAUUUUGAAGUUUAUUUCAUAUUAAAAUGUUUAAAUGUGAGCAGCAAAAAAACUGUGACUGACAGUGAACAGGUUAAGUCCAAAAACAUGAGAGUUCGUAAAUGAAUUGUUGUUUUGUAUUAUCUUUUAAGCUUUGGCAAUACUGUUCUUUGACAUUCAUGCCAAUAAAGCAAAAUUGAAUUGCAUUGAAUAUGGCAGAAAGAAUGGAACAAUCAACAGAUACUGUGUGGAGACGUGGAGCUGUUCAUCAGUUGAUCAUUUUGCACGCUGUUUAGGAGCCAUGGGAAUAUGAUACCUAUGCAUAUCUUGCAUUAAUGUAUCACUUGUGUUAAUGAUUAAACUCCAUGAAUGCACCUUCCUCUUCAUCCCUGACCAUGUAAAAUAUAAAAAACUCUGCUGACAUUCACUAAUUGCAGCAUUCGUUUGAUCAACAGUAAACUCUUCAGCUGAUCAUGUAAAGUAUACACGUGUCCUGCACAUGCUGGCACACACAAACCGAGCCACCAACCCAUCAGGAGGAGCUUCUGUACACAAGCUGGGCUAUUAGAUGAGUCAGAAAGUGUAAUUGUAUUUGUGUUUUUUUUAUCAUUCUCACUUCCACUGUGGUUUUCUGACACAAGCCUCUGGUGCUCAUCCUUAACUUCAUCUCAUCAGUAAACAUGAGUGCAGCACCACUCAGUGAUUCAAGUCAACACAGACCCCUAAGGGGGCUACAUGAUAGUGUUCACUGCAAGCUAACCUGGUUGGUGAGGGUGUUGAUGCCCACAGAUGGAUGCCCAUUAAUCAUAGGGUUGUGAAUUCAAUCCCCAGCUCUUCCUUCAAAUUGUGAAAGUGUCCUUCAGCAAGACACUAAGCCCCAAAGUGCUCCUGAUAAGCAAGCCAGCCUAACAUGGCAGUCUAUAUGGGGCGGCUGUGGCCUCGAGGUAGAGCGGGACAUCUAACUAAUAGAAGAUUGGUGUUUUGAUCCCUGGCUUCCCCAACCCACAUGUCAAAGUGUCCUUGGACAGGAUUCUGAACUCCAAAUUCCCAAGGCUAUGCUAUCUAUGUGUGUGAAUGAUUAGUUUCUUUCUCAUGUGCAGUUGUCACUUUGCAUGACAUCCUCCACCAUCAGCUUAUGAAUGUGUUUGUGAAUUUGGUGACUGUGACAUGGAGUAGUGUGCUUUGGACAUAGCCAAAUUUGUUUAAUGUAACAUUCCAGCUCUUGGCAGCUCUUGGUUAUGGUUAGGAAAGUCUCCCAGUGAUAGAUACCUCUGUUUUGGACUCUCUGGCCCUCUAUUCCCUCAAAGGUCAGCAAA
This is a long non-coding RNA of Micropterus salmoides (largemouth bass), 4334 nucleotides long. RefSeq lists it as uncharacterized. The record is from RefSeq and is a predicted model, not a curated record. The transcript has 4 exons. NCBI's taxonomy places the organism in Eukaryota, Metazoa, Chordata, Actinopteri, Centrarchiformes, Centrarchidae.